This 639-nucleotide ribosomal RNA is filed under the name uncultured marine eukaryote. Its description in RNAcentral is "SSU rRNA". It matches the Rfam family "Eukaryotic small subunit ribosomal RNA", at positions 621 to 1259 of the family's 1831-position model. The record is from RNAcentral.
AAAAAGCUCGUAGUUGGAUCUCGGCGGUCUGAGGGCGGUUCGCUUGAUUGAGUGCUACUGCUCUAUAGGCCGUGGUUUUGCCAGAGGUCUCGGGGUGCUCUUAACCGAGUGUCCUGCGAUGCUGGCAGGUUUACUUUGAAAAAAUUAGAGUGCUCAAAGCAGGCUUUUACGCCUGAAUAUUCGUGCAUGGAAUAAUAGAAUAGGAAGUCGUUUCUAUUUUGUUGGUUUUCGGAAAUCGACUUAAUGAUUAAUAGGGACAGUCGGGGGCAUUUGUAUUCAAACGACAGAGGUGAAAUUCUUGGACCGUUUGAAGACAAACUACUGCGAAAGCAUUUGCCAAGAAUGUUUUCAUUAAUCAAGAACGAAAGUUAGAGGUUCGAAGGCGAUUAGAUACCGCCCUAGUUCUAACCAUAAACGAUGCCAGCUAGCGAUCUGCCGACGUUUUCUUUGUAGACUCGGCAGGAAGCUUCCGGGAAACCAAAGCAUUUGGGUUCCAGGGGAAGUAUGGUUGCAAAGCUGAAACUUAAAGGAAUUGACGGAAGGGCACCACCAGGAGUGGAGCCUGUGGCUUAAUUUGACUCAACACGGGAAAUCUCACCAGGCCCGGACACUGGAAGGAUUGACAGAUUGAUAGCUCUU